CAGUAGCCGCGGUAAUACGAAGGGGGCUAGCGUUGCUCGGAAUCACUGGGCGUAAAGGGUGCGUAGGCGGGUCUUUAAGUCAGGGGUGAAAUCCUGGAGCUCAACUCCAGAACUGCCUUUGAUACUGAAGAUCUUGAGUUCGGGAGAGGUGAGUGGAACUGCGAGUGUAGAGGUGAAAUUCGUAGAUAUUCGCAAGAACACCAGUGGCGAAGGCGGCUCACUGGCCCGAUACUGACGCUGAGGCACGAAAGCGUGGGGAGCAAACAGGAUUAGAUACCCGCGUAGUCCCUGUCUCUUAUAA
RNAcentral lists this ribosomal RNA (301 nucleotides) under uncultured bacterium. Its description in RNAcentral is "partial 16S ribosomal RNA". It matches the Rfam family "Bacterial small subunit ribosomal RNA", at positions 509 to 809 of the family's 1533-position model. The record is from RNAcentral.